UACAGAGGUCUCAAGCGUUGUUCGGAUUCAUUGGGCGUAAAGGGUGCGUAGGCGGCGCGGUAAGUCGGGUGUGAAAUCUUGGAGCUUAACUCCGAAACUGCAUUCGAUACUGCCGUGCUUGAGGACUGGAGAGGAGACUGGAAUUUACGGUGUAGCGGUGAAAUGCGUAGAUAUCGUAAGGAAGACCAGUGGCGAAGGCGGCGCUCUGGGCCGGAACUGACGCUGAGGAGCGAAAGCGUGGGUAGCAAACAGG
This 253-nucleotide ribosomal RNA is filed under the name uncultured bacterium. Its description in RNAcentral is "partial 16S ribosomal RNA". It matches the Rfam family "Bacterial small subunit ribosomal RNA", at positions 524 to 776 of the family's 1533-position model. The record is from RNAcentral.